UUGGAGGGCAAGUCUGGUGCCAGCAGCCGCGGUAAUUCCAGCUCCAAUAGCGUAUAUUAAAGUUGUUGCAGUUAAAAAGCUCGUAGUUGAAUUUCGGGGUUAGUAGGUUGGUCAUGCCUCUGGUAUGUACUGGUCUCACUGAUUCCUCCUUCCUUAUGAACCGUAAUGCCAUUAAUUUGGUGUUGCGGGGAAUUUGGACUGUUACUUUGAAAAAAUUAGAGUGUUUAAAGCAAGCUAACGCUUGAAUACAUUAGCAUGGAAUAAUGAAAUAGGACGUUCGAUCUUAUUUUGUUGGUUUCUAGGAUUGACGUAAUGAUUAAUAGGGAUAGUUGGGGGCAUUAGUAUUCAAUUGUCAGAGGUGAAAUUCUUGGAUUUAUUGAAGACUAACUACUGCGAAAGCAUUUGCCAAGGAUGUUUUCAUUAGUCAAGAACGAAAGUUAGGGGAUCGAAGACGAUCAGAUACCGUCGUAGUCUUAACCAUAAACUAUGCCGACUAGGGAUCGGAUGAUGUUAAUUUUUUAAUGACUCAUUCGGCACCUUACGGGAAAC
RNAcentral lists this ribosomal RNA (549 nucleotides) under uncultured Glomus. Its description in RNAcentral is "SSU rRNA". It matches the Rfam family "Eukaryotic small subunit ribosomal RNA", at positions 548 to 1098 of the family's 1831-position model. Lineage: Eukaryota; Fungi; Glomeromycota; Glomeromycetes; Glomerales; Glomeraceae. The record is from RNAcentral.